UACGGAGGGUGCGAGCGUUAAUCGGAAUUACUGGGCGUAAAGCGCAUGCAGGUGGUUUGUUAAGUCAGAUGUGAAAGCCCGGGGCUCAACCUCGGAAUUGCAUUUGAAACUGGCAAACUAGAGUACUGUAGAGGGGGUAGAAUUUCAGGUGUAGCGGUGAAAUGCGUAGAGAUCUGAAGGAAUACCGGUGGCGAAGGCGGCCCCCUGGACAGAUACUGACACUCAGAUGCGAAAGCGUGGGGAGCAAACAGGAUUAGAUACCCUGGUAG
This 269-nucleotide ribosomal RNA is filed under the name uncultured bacterium. RNAcentral's name for it is "partial 16S ribosomal RNA". It matches the Rfam family "Bacterial small subunit ribosomal RNA", at positions 524 to 793 of the family's 1533-position model. The record is from RNAcentral.